This 265-nucleotide ribosomal RNA is filed under the name Escherichia coli. RNAcentral's name for it is "partial 23S ribosomal RNA". It matches the Rfam family "Bacterial large subunit ribosomal RNA", at positions 1027 to 1290 of the family's 2925-position model. Lineage: Bacteria; Pseudomonadati; Pseudomonadota; Gammaproteobacteria; Enterobacterales; Enterobacteriaceae. The record is from RNAcentral.
CCAGACCGCCAGCUAAGGUCCCAAAGUCAUGGUUAAGUGGGAAACGAUGUGGGAAGGCCCAGACAGCCAGGAUGUUGGCUUAGAAGCAGCCAUCAUUUAAAGAAAGCGUAAUAGCUCACUGGUCGAGUAGGCCUGCGCGGAAGAUGUAACGGGGCUAAACCAUGCACCGAAGCUGCGGCAGCGACGCUGAUGCGUUGUUGGGUAGGGGAGCGUUCUGUAAGCCUGUGAAGGUGUGCUGUGAGGCAUGCUGGAGGUAUCAGAAGUG